Molecule: non-coding RNA, 297 nt
Organism: Cyanistes caeruleus (blue tit)
Lineage: Eukaryota; Metazoa; Chordata; Aves; Passeriformes; Paridae
Source: RefSeq, a predicted model, not a curated record
CUUAGUAUGUUGCUCUCCAGGAAAAAAAUGUAUUCAGCUGACUUGAAGCUAAUCAGCAGUGUUUUGAAGGACUUCCCCAGCCUAAGGUUUUGCUGUCUGGCAGAAACCAGUCCAUCCCUCAGCCUCUGCCAGUGCCAUCUCUGUGGGAUCUCCACGGUGGCACUGCUUUUUCCUGUGAUGGUUUAGGCUCUACAGGUGCAUUUGGCAAGCACAUUCCAGAAGGUCUUCCAGGAUAUUCAGCCCAAGGGUACAACUACAGUAGUAGCUGGUUAAUGAGAUCUCAUUAAAGAAUUUUUG